Molecule: non-coding RNA, 22 nt
Filed under: Xenopus tropicalis (tropical clawed frog)
Lineage: Eukaryota; Metazoa; Chordata; Amphibia; Anura; Pipidae
Also listed under: 1 other name
Source: RNAcentral
GCAGUCCAUGGGCAUAUACACC